GAAUUUAGCUCUGUCAAGUGAUCAGUGUUUAGUAGCAUCUUCGCUGCGUGACUAUCGCCAUUCCGCCGAGGCCUCGAUAUUUUAAGUCUUUAUCCUACUUCUUUAUGCCAGCAUAUUAUCUACACAGUUGGAAACGCAGUUGAAUACUAUCGUCCAACUCGAAUUCUCGCUAUACGCGAAAGGCACGCUUAAUAUCAAUAUAUUGAUAUCGCUUAGGCGAGCAAUGACAGUGCUUAGACCCCGGUUAAAGGUUCGUAGACCUUAUACAACAGCGAUUUAACCCAGUAGAGAAUAAGGAGUUAUCUUGAACGGGUUUGCGGUAGAAUGGGAUGAUUUGAAGUUGCCGAUAAUUUGACGCUUGCAACGGCCUUCAUUGCAUGGUUCAUUAGAAGCGCCAUUCUAGGCAUGGAAAGGCACAGCAAAACUUCAAACCAUCAUAGAAAUGAUUGAAAGCGCACAAGAUUAAUCUUUUUUUAUAAAAAAAAUGAUUUCGUCAAAAGUAAAAGACAAGAGGRAGGUUCAAGAGGGCGUGAUUAGGGUUGCCAGCCAAACUCCCUCUUGAAGUUCAGAAAUACAGAUAAUAGGAAUUAUAUAWAUAAAUGAAAUGGGAGAAUAAAUCUGAAUGGGACUUAUUCUGAAAACAGAAGAAAUACACAGAAUUCUUGCGAAAGAAGAUCAUUUUGCUAUUUUCAUAUUGAUUGUUUAUUAUUUUGUUUAACUUUUCGGCAGCCCUAAAUCUAACCAUUUGAUACUUUUUCCUGAGUUAGACARCCCCUUUAGCGUUCUGGAUUCGCAAAGAAAGAGUAUACCUAAAGCAGUAGCUUGGAGAACUCUUAAUAACAUAUGCUGAACAACUGCAGACCUACCAACUCUAAAAGUGGGGUCGGCCAAUCUGAAAACCAUUCAAAUUCUUACUCCCUAAUUACUUUAUGUAUUCUUUUCUGAUGAAGGCGUAAGUACGCCGAAACAUGUCGAAUAAACGAUUUAAAAUAGUAA
Exaiptasia diaphana is the source of this 996-nucleotide long non-coding RNA. RefSeq lists it as uncharacterized. The transcript has 3 exons. NCBI's taxonomy places the organism in Eukaryota, Metazoa, Cnidaria, Anthozoa, Actiniaria, Aiptasiidae. The record is from RefSeq and is a predicted model, not a curated record.